UACGAAUGGGGCGAGCGUUGUUCGGAAUUACUGGGCGUAAAGCGCAUGUAGGCGGACUUGUUAGUCAGGGGUGAAAUCCCGGGGCUCAACCCCGGAAUUGCUUUUGAUACUGCAAGUCUAGAAUCCGGAAGAGGUGAGUGGAAUUCCUAGUGUAGAGGUGAAAUUCGUAGAUAUUAGGAAGAAUACCAGUGGCGAAGGCGGCUCACUGGUCCGGUACUGACGCUGAGGUGCGAAAGCGUGGGGAGCAAACAGG
This 253-nucleotide ribosomal RNA is filed under the name uncultured bacterium. RNAcentral describes it as "partial 16S ribosomal RNA". It matches the Rfam family "Bacterial small subunit ribosomal RNA", at positions 524 to 776 of the family's 1533-position model. The record is from RNAcentral.